RNAcentral lists this ribosomal RNA (513 nucleotides) under uncultured bacterium. RNAcentral describes it as "partial 16S ribosomal RNA". It matches the Rfam family "Bacterial small subunit ribosomal RNA", at positions 28 to 523 of the family's 1533-position model. The record is from RNAcentral.
GACGAACGCUGGCGGCAUGCCUAAUACAUGCAAGUCGAGCGAACAGACGAAGUGCUUGCACUUCUGACGUUAGCGGCGAACGGGUGAGUAACACGUAAGGAAUCUACCUAUAAGCGGGGGAUAACAUUCGGAAACGGGUGCUAAUACCGCAUAAUAUCUUCUUCCGCAUGGAAGAAGAUUGAAAGACGGCUCUGCUGUCACUUAUAGAUGACCUUGCGGUGCAUUAGUUAGUUGGUGGGGUAACGGCCUACCAAGACGAUGAUGCAUAGCCGACCUGAGAGGGUGAUCGGCCACAUUGGGACUGAGACACGGCCCAAACUCCUACGGGAGGCAGCAGUAGGGGAUCUUCCGCAAUGGGCGAAAGCCUGACGGAGCAAUGCCGCGUGAGUGAAGAAGGCCUUCGGGUCGUAAAACUCUGUUAUAAGAGAAGAACAAAUUGUAGAGUAACUGCUACAGUCUUGACGGUAUCUUAUCAGAAAGCCACGGCUAACUACGUGCCAGCCGCCGCAGUAA